UGGGGAAUUUUGGACAAUGGGCGAAAGCCUGAUCCAGCCAUGCCGCGUGAGUGAAGAAGGCCUUCGGGUUGUAAAGCUCUUUUAGUCGGAAAGAAAGAGUUGCAAUGAAUAAUUGUGAUUUAUGACGGUACCGACAGAAAAAGCACCGGCUAACUACGUGCCAGCAGCCGCGGUAAUACGUAGGGUGCGAGCGUUAAUCGGAAUUACUGGGCGUAAAGGGUGCGCAGGCGGUCUUGCAAGUCAGAUGUGAAAGCCCCGGGCUUAACCUGGGAAUUGCGUUUGAAACUACAAGACUAGAGUGCAGCAGAGGGCAGUGGAAUUCCAUGUGUAGCAGUGAAAUGCGUAGAGUUGUGGAAGAACACCGAUGGCGAAGGCAGCUCCCUGGGUUGACACUGACGCUCAUGCACGAAAGCGUGGGGGGCAAACA
This 427-nucleotide ribosomal RNA is filed under the name uncultured bacterium. RNAcentral describes it as "bacterial SSU rRNA". It matches the Rfam family "Bacterial small subunit ribosomal RNA", at positions 355 to 774 of the family's 1533-position model. The record is from RNAcentral.